CACGUAGGGGGCAAGCGUUGUCCGGAUUUAUUGGGCGUAAAGAGCUCGUAGGCUGUUCGAUAAGUCGGGUGUGAAACCUCCAGGCUCAACCUGGAGACGCCACCCGAUACUGUCAUGACUAGAGUCCGGUAGGGGAGCGUGGAAUUCCUGGUGUAGCGGUGAAAUGCGCAGAUAUCAGGAGGAACACCAGCGGCGAAGGCGGCGCUCUGGGCCGGUACUGACGCUGAGGCGCGACAGCGUGGGGAGCAAACAGG
RNAcentral lists this ribosomal RNA (254 nucleotides) under uncultured bacterium. RNAcentral's name for it is "partial 16S ribosomal RNA". It matches the Rfam family "Bacterial small subunit ribosomal RNA", at positions 524 to 776 of the family's 1533-position model. The record is from RNAcentral.